Molecule: ribosomal RNA, 484 nt
Filed under: uncultured bacterium
Lineage: Bacteria
Description: partial 16S ribosomal RNA
Rfam family: Bacterial small subunit ribosomal RNA
Source: RNAcentral
AUUGAACGCUGGCGGCAGGCCUAACACAUGCAAGUCGAGCGGAUGAAGGGAGCUUGCUCCUGGAUUCAGCGGCGGACGGGUGAGUAAUGCCUAGGAAUCUGCCUGGUAGUGGGGGAUAACGUCCGGAAACGGGCGCUAAUACCGCAUACGUCCUGAGGGAGAAAGUGGGGGAUCUUCGGACCUCACGCUAUCAGAUGAGCCUAGGUCGGAUUAGCUAGUUGGUGGGGUAAAGGCCUACCAAGGCGACGAUCCGUAACUGGUCUGAGAGGAUGAUCAGUCACACUGGAACUGAGACACGGUCCAGACUCCUACGGGAGGGCGCAGUGGGGAAUAUUGGACAGUGGGCGAAAGCCUGAUCCAGCCAUGCCGCGUGUGUGAAGAAGGUCUUCGGAUUGUAAAGCACUUUAAGUUGGGAGGAAGGGCAGUAAGUUAAUACCUUGCUGUUUUGACGUUACCAACAGAAUAAGCACCGGCUAACUUCGUG